AAACAAAACGGCUGUAAUUGUGCAAUGGGGUGAAGUGGUGAACCAUCCAAUUUGCCGUUGGUCAAGCAUAUACUGACUGAACCAUCAAGAUCCACGCUCCCCUCUGUACUGUCCACUACAUCAGCAAACCAACAACUCUGUUUCCAUCUCUCUGUUUUCCCACGGAGUUUCUCUCUCUCCUCCCCCGGAAAAUGGAGAACGGCGUCGCAGCCGCGGAGCAGUCGUCUCCGUCUUCAUCGGCGCUGAUAUUCAUGGGAACAGGUUGCUCCAGUGCUGUACCAAAUGCGAUGUGCUUGAUCCAGCCUUCUGAUCCACCUUGCUCUGUUUGUGUUCAGUCCUUGUCCAUUUCCCCCGACCAAAACCCUAAUUAUCGGGGCAAUACAUCUCUACUUAUUGAUUAUUGCCAGACUGAUGGUGAGCAUAGUUAUAUCUUGAUUGACGUUGGGAAGACAUUCAGAGAGGCAGUACUUCGAUGGUUCACCUUACAUAAAAUUCCACGGGUUGAUUCUAUAAUUUUGACGCAUGAGCAUGCAGAUGCAAUUCUUGGUCUGGACGACAUCCGAGCUGUACAACCAUUCAGUACCACUAAUGACAUCAGUCCGACUCCAAUUUACCUCACCCAGGAUUCUAUGAAUAGUGUUGCUGUGAAAUUUCCUUACCUGGUCCAGAAAAAACUUAAAGAAGGCCAGGAGAUUAGACGAGUAGCUCAGCUUGACUGGAAAAUAAUUGAGAGCGAUCACGAGAAACCAUUUUUCGCAUCGGGCCUGCAAUUCGCCCCCUUACCAGUGAUGCAUGGUGAAGAUUACGUUGCAUUGGGUUUCCUUUUCGGUCAGAAGUGCGAAGUAGCUUACAUAUCUGAUGUCUCUCGUUUUAUCCCAAGCACAGAGGCUCUUAUCUCUAAAAGUGGUGGUGGGCAGUUGGACCUUCUUAUCUUGGAUACACUUUACAAGAAUGGGUCGCAUAAUACUCACCUGUGCUUCUCUCAGACUCUUGAUGCGGUGAAGAGAAUUUGUCCAAAGCGUGCUCUGUUAAUUGGAAUGACCCAUGAAUUUGAUCACCAUAAUGACAACACUUUUCUUGCUGAAUGGUCAAGCAGGGAGGGAAUUCAGGUUCAACUAGCUCACGAUGGUCUAAGAAUCCCCAUAGAUCUUUGACAAGGAAGUUAUCUUUUCUAGGGCAGUACUGAAGGUUGAGUUGUUUGGUUGACACUGCAGAUCAGGUACAAGUAUACUUGCUUCUUGUCUUCUUUGGUGGGCAAUCGGACAUUUCAUUCAUAUAGGUCGAAGAUAUCGGCAAUAUCAGGUCAAAGGUUUGAACUCAAGAUGACAUAACGAACUCGUCGUGCACUUGCAGAUGGACUUCUCAAGCUUUUGAUCUUGGUAUUCACUGAUUCCUUUUCCCUUCAUACAGAGAUACACUUCUAUACAGAGGAAAAAAAAGCUCUGGGCUAAUGUAGUUGCUUUAGUCAUGUAUACAAAAUGCUGCCCGAAAUCUUAAUACUUGUGUUGGUCAACUCGUAACCCCUAAAAAAUAUUGAGGGAGUAUAUUAUUAGAAUAUUCAACUUUUUCCCAUAUAUGUUACUGCGAUAUUUUUUGACAGGGUAAUACAACUAAAAGUUAUUGUCUCA
This is an RNA transcript of Spinacia oleracea (spinach), 1628 nucleotides long. It is a transcript of the gene named putative hydrolase C777.06c, with no coding region annotated. Lineage: Eukaryota; Viridiplantae; Streptophyta; Magnoliopsida; Caryophyllales; Amaranthaceae. The transcript is spliced from 11 exons. The record is from RefSeq and is a predicted model, not a curated record.